Diprion similis is the source of this 572-nucleotide long non-coding RNA. RefSeq lists it as uncharacterized. The record is from RefSeq and is a predicted model, not a curated record. The transcript has 3 exons. NCBI's taxonomy places the organism in Eukaryota, Metazoa, Arthropoda, Insecta, Hymenoptera, Diprionidae.
UGAUUUUUAUCUUGUUGAGUAUUUGAAGAAAUUUAGCUCUGCAGUAAUUACCUAAUUAAAAACAAAUUACAUUUUAACCAAAUUUCAGAUUACUAGCAGAAUGAAAUGUAUUACUUUAAAUUAGGCACUAAUGUGGUACGGCAAUUUUUUUUCAAUAGGUAUUAUAAACUACGUCAAAGUUCGACUGAUUCAGCAUUGAAUCCCUUACCUGGACAUAGUUAUCACAUUCAAAAGGCUGUCACAUAAUAUUAUUACUAUUUAGAUGUAUAAUCAGAUCCGAUCUAUGUAAACUUCACUUAUAAAUACUAUCGAUAGAUCAAAGUUUCCAGCAUGAUAGUAAAUUGCAUAAACACAGCUCCAGCAAAUCACUGUGCAAAAAUUUUCUGCACAUCAUUGUUCAUAAUUGUGUAACUCAUAGGAAAAGCACCCUGGUCCCAAUUAAUUUGUAAUAAUUAGGAUCUGACUGUACAUAAAUGAAAAUUAGCAUAUCAUAAAUCAGCUUACAAGCUUGUGUCCGGCGUUUCUUUCGGCAAAGAAUUUUAAAAUGAAAUAAAAGAAACCUUUAUUAAUAA